UUGUGCAGAAAGGCGCGCUCGUAAAGUUCACCUGUCGAAAUACGCCCCCCCCCUCACUCGUUGUGCUACCUUGCUUGUCGACGCUUGUCUGAAUUCUGUGGCGCGGGUAGUUUCAUCGCUUCUUGACCUGUUCAGUCAAAAAGUAGCGAGUUACGACCGCCAGGCAGUCGGCGGCAAGCGCUCGGCCCACGCCUACGCUUGUCUUUGGUGCCGAUCUCGCUGGGUGCAACAGCACUUGCUGGGAGCACCUGUCCGAUCUGUGGGCGGCGCGGAGCGUGCUUCAACCAUCCCGGAGGCCCUCGCCCAGCUUCUGUCGUCAGGAGGUAAUCACUGACUGCAAGAUAGCCCACUAGUUGGGAAGCCUGCUCAUCUGCAACGUCCAGGAGGAUAAAGCCUCGUCCGCGCAGCAGCUUCUUCGCAGUCAGCGGCAAGCGCUCGGCACAAGCUUACGCUUGUCUUUGGUGCAGGGCACUGAAUGAGAGCAUGGAGCACUGUCAGACUAUUGCCGCACUUACUACAGGUUGGUGGAUCGCCCCCAGUCGAGAGAUAAGCGGUGAAACAAGGUCCAGGAGGAAGCCACAGGCAAGGCACAGCCGGCGCACAGUACCACCGAGAUAAUGCGUGCGCACUCUUCUUCUUUCUCUGCCUCAGUCGCGCAGUGCUGCGGCAACAUAAACAGAAAAAGGCAGUGCGUGAGGGCAAGAACGUACAUGGAAAGAGUGACGCACGUACUGUUCUGUGUACUGCUAUUCUUCUAGUGUAUGCAUUAUUUGCAUUUCAAAAACAAAAAUAAUUUUCUUAUUUAGCAGCAGUCAUCUUCAAUCUUGAUUGAGAAUUUACUGCAUAUAGUGCAGCUUACUUGAUCACCAGAGCUCUUGUUCCGUUUAAGGCAUAUAUGUGGGUCCUGUAGGCUUGUGCAAACUUUAGUUGAGCAUGUGCCAUUGAGAGUAUGUGCACAUGUCUAAAACCAUUUACAGUAAACUCUCAGCUGUUUAACAAAUAUUUCGGAAUAACUAACUUUUAGAAAAUUCCUGGCGGGUUUCCUAUGCAUUCUAUGCAAAUAUCUUUCAGUUGAAUGAAAUCAUCAGUAGCGAAUAUAUUUCAGUUGAACGAACUUGACGCUCCUGGCGAACAGUAACACCAGCUACAAUUAGAAAGUGCAGGCGUAAAUACGGCCUUUCCUUUCGGUGCAGUUAAAGUGAGCAAGAGGAACAGCGAGACGAGGUGAUCGACCCCCGAAUGUGGACAGACGUCUUUUGCCAGCUAGAUGUGGACAAAGACACUUCGUGUGAAACCUAUGUGCAAUAUUAAAUUAUGGGUUCUUACGUGCCAAAA
Molecule: long non-coding RNA, 1335 nt
Organism: Dermacentor albipictus
Lineage: Eukaryota; Metazoa; Arthropoda; Arachnida; Ixodida; Ixodidae
Source: RefSeq, a predicted model, not a curated record